Molecule: ribosomal RNA, 163 nt
Filed under: Euphrasia mirabilis
Lineage: Eukaryota; Viridiplantae; Streptophyta; Magnoliopsida; Lamiales; Orobanchaceae
Description: 5.8S ribosomal RNA
Rfam family: 5.8S ribosomal RNA
About the family: 5.8S ribosomal RNA (5.8S rRNA) is a component of the large subunit of the eukaryotic ribosome. It is transcribed by RNA polymerase I as part of the 45S precursor that also contains 18S and 28S rRNA. Functionally, it is thought that 5.8S rRNA may be involved in ribosome translocation.
Source: RNAcentral
ACGACUCUCGGCAACGGAUAUCUCGGCUCUCGCAUCGAUGAAGAACGUAGCGAAAUGCGAUACUUGGUGUGAAUUGCAGAAUCCCGUGAACCAUCGAGUCUUUGAACGCAAGUUGCGCCCGAAACCACUCGGUUGAGGGCACGUCUGCCUGGGCGUCACGCAU